Molecule: ribosomal RNA, 253 nt
Filed under: uncultured bacterium
Lineage: Bacteria
Description: partial 16S ribosomal RNA
Rfam family: Bacterial small subunit ribosomal RNA
Source: RNAcentral
UACGGGGGGGGCAAGCGUUGUUCGGAAUUACUGGGCGUAAAGGGCUUGUAGGCGGCCAACUAAGUCAGACGUGAAAUCCCUCGGCUUAACCGGGGAACUGCGUCUGAUACUGGAUGGCUUGAGUUUGGGAGAGGGAUGCGGAAUUCCAGGUGUAGCGGUGAAAUGCGUAGAUAUCUGGAGGAAUACCGGAGGCGAAGGCGGCUCACUGGGGAUUUUCUGACGCUGAGGAACGAAAGCCAGGGGAGCGAACGGG